CAGCUUAGCUACAUCCUCAACUCUUAUUUGUUAUUUAUUCAUAUCAUGGUCUCAUGUAGCCCAGGCUGGCCUAAUAUUCUUCUAGAGAGGAUGUUGUUGAACCCCUGGUCUUCUUGCUUCCACCUCCAAAUGCUGGGGUUGCAGUUGUGUGCUCACACCCAACUCUUCUUUAGCAAGAGGCAGGCUGCUCAUCACUUGGGCUGGGCCAAGAGUCCUCUGAGGUCUCUAUGGAGCAGGGCAGAAGACUGGCCAUCUCUUUGAGCUGUGUCAGACUAGUUCAGGACUUUAUGCCAGCAGGUUGGUUUAUGGAUCAGUUCUGCCUAAGAGCUCGGUGCCAGCAGCGUGUGAGUGGGAACCUGGAUUGCUCAGAUCCAUGGUUAAAGGCAGGAAACCCUGGAGGAGAGGCAUCAUUUCCACCCCAGGAUCUCUGUUACCAGGCAGAAUUGAGCAAACCCCAGGCUCCGCUGGCUGACAUCACAGAACGGAACCCUUCACAGCCAGCUACCUAUAUCGUUCCUUGACAGCUAAAGGUCCACCCUUGGCCCCGAAGAUGGCUUUGCAGAGAAGGUGCCUCGGUGACUGAAGUGACAUGAGGCUUCCAACCCACAGGUCUAGUCCUCCCUCCCCUCCUGGCCCUUUCCAGCUCUCUGCUUUACAGGGAUUUGGUCUCUGUGCCCCCGCCCCCGCAGCUUAUGGAGAGGAAGCAGUGGAAAGGACAAGGCCAAUGAGAGUUUUCUCCUAGGAGACCCGGCUGGAGAAGAACCCGAGAUGGUCCAGCAGCUAAAGGCUGCAGCAAGAGGGAGGAAUUUGAGGAUCGGGACUACAGGUCUUGGCCCAGGCUAAGGAAGAAUUUCUGUAGCCCACCUCUCUCCCUUGACUUCUGUCUUAGGAUCAGCAGUAAGUGAGGGAGCUCCCAGGGCUUGCUGUCACCUCCACGCUGGGCUCCCUGGAGUCCCCAGUUUCUUCUAGCUGUGGCUCUGGCUCUGGCUUAGCAGGCUGCAUUGUUGCUCUCAAGGCCUGCUUGGGAUGGGCACUCAAUUUGCCUGUGGGAGACUGAGGGAGACAGACCUGCUUGGUGACUCGCUUCCCCCAGAACCCCCAAGCUAGUGUUGCCAGACCAUGGUCCAGCCCAGAUGGUAAAGCCCUCAGCAAAUACAAUACAGGAUGCCCAGUGUUGGUUAAUACUGUCACCUUGACGAUCUAGAAUCACCUAGGAGACACAACUCCUGGUAUACUGCUGAAGAAAUUCCUACGUUGGGUAAAUUGAGGAAGACCCAUCCUAGAUAUGGCUGCCACCAUUCCAGGGGCUUCUGGGGUCCUAGUCAGAAUGAAAAACAGAAAGAGAACUGAGCACUGGCGUUCAUCUGGCCCUGCAGCGUGAAUGCAAAGGCCGUGACCAGACUCCUUAGACUCCUGUUGCCAUGACUUCCCCACCGCGUUGGACCACAUCCUCAAGCUGUGAGUCAAGAUGACCCUUCCUUAUUUGAGCCGUUUUUUUGUUAGGUGUCUUGUCACACGAGGAGAAAAGUGAUCAAUACAUACAACUUUCAGUUUUUUGGAAAGUUUAUUGCCACUGUGCAUCUGUGCAUGGUCUUCAUUUGGAGGUCAGAAGAUGGCUCUCAGGAGCCAGUUCUUCUACCUUUGAUGUCAAGGAACAAGCCUGGGUUGUUAGCCUUAUCUAACAAAGGUUUGUACCUACAGUCAUCUCAGGAUUCCACGGCCAGGCCAUCUGCAGGGUGUAAAUCCAAUUACAACCCCAAAGUUGUGGCCAGUCUUAAAUUGCAAUAUUUAGAUGCACUACGAGUCUGCAGCAUGAUGGUGUAGGCAAAGGAGAGGACCCAGUGCAUAGUGCUUGCUGUGUGAGCACGGGGACCUGAGUUCAGACCCCGCCCACACCUUAAGGUUAGAUGUGAUGCCCUGUAUCUGCAGCCCUAGAACCAGGGAAGGGGUGAGAGGCGGAUGGGGUCUUGUUGGCCAGUCUAGCUGAGAUGGUAUAGAGAAAAUGUAACGGCUUAGAUUUCACCAGAGGAUGAGCUGGAAUACUCACAUCUGCACACACCAGUCUUAGCAAUCACAUCUUUGGUCUGCUGCUCAGGGGUGAUUACAGCCCAGCUGCUGGGCAGCAUCUUGGAGGGGCUGUUAUACCCGAGCCACAGGCUCCUACGCUGGAUGGAGCUUUUGGAAAAGAGGAACAGGGCUGGAGUGUGGCCAAUUUCAUAUACCUUCCCUGGGAAAGAGGACUUAGCAGCCCGACCAGAUCCAAGUCUUCCCUCCUGGGAUAGGGAGGCUUGGGCCUUCAUUCCAAGAAGCCCAAGCUCAGAGGAACAGGGAUCAGUCAGUCAUUAGAGGAAAGUCAGGCUGGAGGAGGAGCAGCCCUGGCAUUCAGGACUCACACCAGCAGCUCUGUCUUUUUGAGCAAAUAGAAAGAACACAGUUUACAAACAGGUAAAAACUAUUGAAAAGUUUAUUUACAUUAAAUCUUUCCCUUUGGGUUGCACAUUAGUUCCACAAAGGCAGACAGGUUUGCAGUAAUGGCAGCAAUCAGCAGGGUCCAGCAGAACUAGCAAGGACAAAUUCUUCAGGUGUGCUCCACCCAAAACCAUCCUGGUGUAAGUGUGCUUGCUUACAGUUCUCAUUCCCCACAGCUUCUCCUCCCA
This is a non-coding RNA of Myodes glareolus (Bank vole), 2657 nucleotides long. The record is from RefSeq and is a predicted model, not a curated record. NCBI's taxonomy places the organism in Eukaryota, Metazoa, Chordata, Mammalia, Rodentia, Cricetidae.